UUGCUUUCCAUGCAAGUCGUACGAGAGUUUUUAAUUCAAGUGGCGGACGGGUGAGCAACACGUAAGAAUUUGCCUCUAGGAGGGGGACAACAACUGGAAACGGUUGCUAAUACCCCAUAUGCUUCCGAGUGAAAUGGAAUUUUCCGCCUAGAGAGAGGCUUGCGGCUGAUUAGCUCGUUGGUAAGGUAAUGGCUCACCAAGGCGACGAUCAGUAUCUGGUUUGAGAGGACGAUCAGACACACUGGAACUGAGACACGGUCCAGACUCCUACGGGAGGCAGCAGUGGGGAAUUUUCCGCAAUGGGCGAAAGCCUGACGGAGCAAUACCGCGUGAGGGAUGACGGCCUAUGGGUUGUAAACCUCUUUUUUCAGGGAGGAAUAAAAUGACGUGUACCUGAAGAAUAAGCAUCGGCUAACUCCGUGCCAGCAGCCGCGGUAAGACGGAGGAUGCAAGUGUUAUCCGGAAUCACUGGGCGUAAAGCGUCUGUAGGUGGUUUGAUAAGUCAACUGUUAAAUCUUGAGGCUCAACCUCAAAAUCGCAAUCGAAACUAUUAGACUAGAGUAUAGUAGGGGUAAAGGGAAUUUCCAGUGGAGCGGUGAAAUGCGUAGAGAUUGGAAAGAACACCGAUGGCGAAGGCACUUUACUGGGCUAUUACUGACACUCAGAGACGAAAGCUAGGGUAGCAAAUGGGAUUAGAUACCCCAGUAGUCCUAGCCGUAAACAAUGGAUACUAGAUGUUUGAACAGAUCGACCUGUG
This 757-nucleotide ribosomal RNA is filed under the name uncultured eukaryote. RNAcentral's name for it is "bacterial SSU rRNA". It matches the Rfam family "Bacterial small subunit ribosomal RNA", at positions 44 to 839 of the family's 1533-position model. The record is from RNAcentral.